GUUUCCUUUCUCUUGAAUGGAUACCACCCUGCCGUUGUCCCAAUAGAAUCAGAAGGGAGCCCCAGUGAAAAAUCUGUGCAGAUUACCAUUGAGGUUUUUUGUUCGAUUUUACAUCCUCAUUCAGCACCAGGCUGCAUUUUCAGAACCUUUUUUUCAAUACAUAUUGAAGCCACUCAUUUUUCUGUCUUUGCUCAGAACAUCCUGGAUGUGUAACGGGAUCAAAAAGAUCAUCAGUUGAAUUAUCUAAACAAAGCCUCCCUGCUUUAGGAACUCAAAAUGUUUCACAAGAAGAAGGGCCUCGCACUGCCAUACCCUGCGAGAUGCUCUGAGCUACUGAGUGCUUCCAUCAUCCAUCCAGCUGGGUCUCACCUUGCUGCAGAGAUGAAAAGGGGAAGGUGCAGAAAGGAGUCAGCGUCAGUUAAUUGCAGUAGUAACGAUUCAGAAUUGAGCUGAUGGGCUGCAGACGUUUGGAAAGCGAUCGGAGUGUUUCCAAAUGGCUGAUAGGAUUGGAAAUGCUAAGUCGUGGCCUGAAGCAGUGAUUGAGCACCUGGUGGGAAGACAGGGCCAAGCCAGGGGAGCUCAGGUGUAUGCAAUGCAAUGCAUCUAAGUGAUGAAGGGGUGGAGCCAGGAUCUAUCCCUUCCCAGACCUCAUUUAAGGGCUGGCAGUGGAGAUGAGGAGAUCUUGCUGGAGAUCCUGCCUGCCUGAGGUCUUUUGAAGGUACCGGCUGCAUGGAAGGCAGGUGCCUUUUAUCCAAAGACAAGGAGUGUUCUCCAUAGGAAAUGUUUAUGUACAUACAGCAACACCAAUUUCAGAAAAUAGAUUACCUCUGAGGAAACCAUCUGUUUCAGCAUCUCCUGAACUUUCAGUGGGAACUGAUCCUGGAUACACCCAGACUAGCAAUAUGGCAUACUUCAGCAACGCAGGAAAAUAAGCUUUCAGCAGCUGACCUGCAGAUGUGAUGAAGUCUCUGUCGCCUGGGAUCUUUAAAUCAAGACUUAACAUCUUCUGGAGGGUAUGCUACUGCACAGAGAGGACUUGCAGGCAUGCCUGCAGUGUAGAUAUUGCUGGAAGAGGUUCUGCAAUCUUGUUAACAAAUGCUGUAUAAAUAAAUUAGCACAGUCAUUGCUUUAAGCCUUAAAAAUCUAUUAAUACUCUCAAUACCCGGUUUUUGAAAUAAUCAUGCCAUCCCCUUACAAACCACAUGCCUGAAACUGUGGUCAGACUAUGGGUUAAUUACGCCUGCAAACAGGUCUGGAUUGUACAGCUGAGAAAUCCGAGGCAACAAAACCUUAAUUGGCUUUUCCAAGGGCAUCCAGCAAAUCACUGGGAACGCCAGGCACUGAGCCCAGGGGAGAGGUGCUUCCUCCACUCCCUGCAUCUCCCUCUUCCAACUGCUGAUAACAGCAGCAGUAUGGGCUGAAAUCGACUGCAGGGCAUGGAUUUGACUCAGCAUCAUCUGGUUCCGUGCCGAGGGAGGCAUUUCCCAGCCAUGGUCUCCCUGUUGAUGUGUCCAGCUCCCGACACAAGUAUGUCAUCACCCAUCCCUGAACUCCUGUGCUGAUGGGCAGCCUUUUAUUUGGACUCUCUUAAAAGCCACAUCCUGGACCCUUUAAUUUUAGCAGUUGAACAGACCUGCCAUCCCAUCCUGCCUCUUCUGACCAUCUGAUUCCUUGUAUUAAAGAUUGGUCGAUUCAUUUCUCAGACCCACUCAGUCAUCAGAGGUUAAGCACCCCUUGGUUUAUCUAUUAAAGGCAGGCAAUUAGUUCCCUCAUGCUGACUGUCAGUGAGAGUUGGGAGGGGACACAAUAACCUUGUCCAUGAAACUCCUACAAGAGUAGGAGCACGAUGGCUUCAUACAAACCCACAGCGGUCACCCACCUUGGAGAAAAAUGGAUUUCUUUCCAGCACACAAAUAGCUGAGUGAACAUCCCCAAGGGCCUUCCAAACCACUCUGAAAAAAAGAAUCUGGGGGAAAAAGCUGCAAGGUUGGCAAACGUUGCCGCAGCCACGGCUGGUGCCUGGGAAAGGACAGUGCUGGGAGCUCAGCUAAUGCACGUCGCCUCUGCCUCGCAAAGCCAGCAGAGGAGAAAAUGUCAGAGAAUUGGCCUGUCAAAAUGACGAAGCUGAAAAAGCAAGAGUGGUGCAGAAAUUCAAGCUGUCGACAAAACGCUUGAAGCAGCCUGCUGGGACCAGAGCCCAUGGGUGUGCUGAGAUGUGUGGGGAGAAACCACUGGCCUCAUUCCACAGCACUGCUCCUGGGCUGGUCACGACCAGCCCUUCCAUACAGCUAGGGGAGGUUAUUUUCUUUUGAUUUUUUUUUUAUUUUUUCCAUUUGGUUUUGGAGCGUUUCUGUGUGUGUGUGUUUAGCCUGUCUGUUUUUUGCAGUCUGGUUGUUAAAUUCUGGCUUUAAACUCUAGUUAAUUCACACAAUUGAUUCAUCUGCAGACCAUUCCUCAGCUCAUUGGCAUGCACCCACCUGAAGCACCCACUUUUAGUCCCUGGUGGUUUACUCUUCUUUUUUCAAACAGACUUGCCAUUAGCACCUGUUCAGUCAUCAUUUAACCAACAUAGGUAGCUCUACCACAUGCAUCACCAUAAAUCACAGCCUCCAGACUGGGAUAUUUUUCAUUCCCCUUCUGUGAGCUCCCCCCUGUUUAUCAAUAUCUUCCUGGGACUGGGUUUUAACCAUAUCCUAAGGCCCAUUGCAGUAGCCUAUGGGAAGACUUUGAAAUUAUAUUCCCAAUGGCUUGAAAAAACAAAACUUGAGGCUGUGGUGGCCCCUAUGUGGAUGGAAUCCCUCAGGAUUGUGAG
This is a long non-coding RNA of Lagopus muta (rock ptarmigan), 2812 nucleotides long. RefSeq lists it as uncharacterized. The transcript has 3 exons. NCBI's taxonomy places the organism in Eukaryota, Metazoa, Chordata, Aves, Galliformes, Phasianidae. The record is from RefSeq and is a predicted model, not a curated record.